RNAcentral lists this ribosomal RNA (440 nucleotides) under uncultured bacterium. RNAcentral describes it as "partial 16S ribosomal RNA". It matches the Rfam family "Bacterial small subunit ribosomal RNA", at positions 338 to 795 of the family's 1533-position model. The record is from RNAcentral.
CCUACGGGAGGCAGCAGUGGGGAAUAUUGCACAAUGGGGGAAACCCUGAUGCAGCGACGCCGCGUGAGUGAAGAAGUAUUUCGGUAUGUAAAGCUCUAUCAGCAGGGAAGAAAAUGACGGUACCUGAUUAAGAAGCCCUGGCUAACUACGUGCCAGCAGCCGCGGUAAUACGUAGGGGGCAAGCGUUAUCCGGAUUUACUGGGGGUAAAGGGAGCGUAGACGGCAGGACAAGUCUGGAGUGAAAUGCCGGGGCUUAACCCCGGAACUGCUUUGGAAACUGUGCAGCUGGAGUGCAGGAGAGGUAAGUGGAAUUCCUGGUGUAGCGGUGAAAUGCGUAGAUAUUAGGAGGAACACCAGUGGCGAAGGCGGCUUACUGGACUGUAACUGACGUUGAGGCUCGAAAGCGUGGGGAGCAAACAGGAUUAGAUACCCCAGUAGUC